This 460-nucleotide ribosomal RNA is filed under the name uncultured bacterium. RNAcentral describes it as "partial 16S ribosomal RNA". It matches the Rfam family "Bacterial small subunit ribosomal RNA", at positions 338 to 795 of the family's 1533-position model. The record is from RNAcentral.
CCUACGGGAGGCUGCAGUGAGGAAUAUUGGUCAAUGGACGAGAGUCUGAACCAGCCAAGUAGCGUGAAGGAUGACUGCCCUAUGGGUUGUAAACUUCUUUUAUAAAGGAAUAAAACGAGGCACGUGUGCCGUUUUGCAUGUACUUUAUGAAUAAGGAUCGGCUAACUCCGUGCCAGCAGCCGCUGUAAUACGGAGGAUCCGAGCGUUAUCCGGAUUUAUUGGGUUUAAAGGGAGCGUAGAUGGGUUGUUAAGUCAGUUGUGAAAGUUUGCGGCUCAACCGUAAAAUUGCAAUUGAUACUGGCAGUCUUGAGUACAGUUGAGGUAGGCGGAAUUCGUGGUGUAGCGGUGAAAUGCUUAGAUAUCACGAAGAACCCCGAUUGCGAAGGCAGCUUACUAAACUGUGACUGACAUUGAUGCUCGAAAGUGUGGGUAUCAAACAGGAUUAGAUACCCCUGUAGUC